Molecule: non-coding RNA, 2449 nt
Organism: Podarcis muralis (Common wall lizard)
Lineage: Eukaryota; Metazoa; Chordata; Lepidosauria; Squamata; Lacertidae
Source: RefSeq, a predicted model, not a curated record
UCCAGGGCUUUGCAUAUAUUUAAGAGCUGUUUCUUGUAACAGAAGGUGCUGAUUAGAGAUAACCAGUGUUUCUCCUGCUGAGUUGGUCAGAUGCUGUCAGCCUUUUCCAUAGAGCUACCCUUCUGUCUCCUUCCUUUCAUGGACAGAGUAACAUUUUGUACUGACACAAAGAAAUUCUUCCUUCCCUUGAUCACGAAGACACACACAAAACUAGAGCCUCCUCUUUAACAUUUGCUGUUUUUCUUAAACUUUCUUCUUGUCGUCUGUGAAUCUCUCAUGCUAGGUACACUAGUCAUAAUGUGGCCAAAGUUAAGCACAUUUAUACUGCAAAGAGAAACUUUCCAGCGCUGUGCUAUAGUGGAUGUGUUACAAAAAUUAGACAUGUGUUUCUGUGUGUUGUGGGUGGUGGAAAUAUUCUUCAAAUAGCUGGGCAUUGCUCUGGGAGAGUGAUUCUGUCACCUCAACCUAUUUUCUACCUUAAUAAACUAGUUCCAUGUUUUGCUGUUAAUUUGACUCUAACAAAAAACAUAAUUGAAAGGGUACUGAACUUUGGCAAACCGUAGACAUGCUGUCUUCGUACAUGUUUGCCCCAUAAAAUGACAAUGUCAAUAACAAAAACCAAACUGCCCUUUACCGAGGCUGCUCUUUAUGGGGGUCCUUUCUGAUAUUUUACAAUCAUGCCAUGGAUUGUGUGUAUACACGUGUGCAUGCCAGAGUCUGUAUUUUCUACUGGUGGUAAUAUCUCCACCAACAACCACUGAGCAUAUGACUGAGAUUUGGCUGAUCUUCUCAUGAACUUAAAACAGUCUACAAACAGAGAUAAUCUUGCCAGAUAAUCAGCUCCCAAACUUCAGAUCAUCAAAUAUAUGUGCAACAUAACCUUUUAUGUGAAAUUAUUUGCCCUCUGCUGCGUGAGAAGCAUAAAGCACAACAGCAAUAUAGGACUGAGAUCUGGUUCAAACUAGAGUAUCUUGAGGCUGAGUGUUACCUGUAUUGCAGGUAUAGUUUCAACAGAUUGGAAUCCACCCAUAAAAAGCAUUUUUUAUAACCUGUCUUGUAUUCACAACAAUGAAGUGGUGGAAUUUGUCCUAGAUUAUUCCACAUCAGGCUGCAGGUAGAGGAAUCGUGUUUGGGCACUCUAAAACCUUUCUUCUGGCAUGCUAUUUUAUUAUGGAGAGUGAGAUUCUUUCCCCCCCUGGCACAUCCAGACAGGCAACUCACUCACCCCUCCCUGCAGUUUGUGAUGUUAAGGUUCAGAAAAAAGCCUUAUCAGUUGAAUUUGCCGGAUGUAUAAAUUGGUCUUACAUAAUUUAUACAUCAAUCGAAAUGCAGGGAUCCUGUUCAGGUAUAUGCAAGUACAGGAUUGGCUUGGGAUUUCAUAAUGUGUUGCUCACAUAUUUCCAUUGAAUCAAAUUGUUUAUCCUUCCUUCCUUCCUUCCUUCCUUCCUUCCUUCCUUCCUUCCUUCCUUCCUUCCUUCCUUCUCUCUCUCUCUCUCUCUCUCUCUCUCUCUCUCUCUUCCUUUCUCAUUUCCUGGCUAGAUUGCGUUUGGUCUCUGUGUGUAAACACUGUGUAACUGCUGCCUUCUUCCCAGGCUUUUUAAUGAGACUGUGCCGUCUGAUCAGGUGCAUGCACUCCACUGUCAUUUGCAGCCUGACCUGCGGGUCAGAGGUGAUUUGGGCAGGCUCAGGGAUGCAUACAAAUCACAUCCUCUUGUCUGUCUGUUUUGUUGACUGGUUCUCCUCAGGGUCACGGCUAGCUUAAGUAGCAGCCUGAAGGAUAAAGUGUGCCCUGUCUGAGCUGUAAAACUUUGACUUUGGACCAAUUGCAUCUGACAUACAGCAGCAUGAGGUUUGGCUUAGCCUUUGGAUUCAGAACAAAUCACUGACCACCAAUAGCUGAUAGUGACAUGCAGUUUACGGAAUGUCUCCUUUUCUCUGGCAGCCAUGUAUUUUUCAGCAGCAAGGAACGUGCUUGGAGGUUUCAGCCACUGGGGUGUCAUUGGGGUGUCGCAAGCAUUUCUGACAAACUGCUUCGAAGAAGGGGGAACAGUCACUAAAGAGCUGCAGUUGUGGCAGUGGAUGUACUGGACUGAUGUCUUACUUCUGGACUGGACUGGUGGAGAGCCAACAAACUGAAGCUCAAUCCAGAUGAGGCUGAGGCACUGUUAACUGGUGGUUCCCUAGACCUGAUGGCAUCACAUCUUGAUCCUCAAAUGGGCAUCCCAAACAUUUUCUUGCUGCCAAGUGAAAGAUUAACGCGCACAGCAGAUCUGCAUAACUGUAGGACAAACUGAGAAAUAGGAGAAGCGGAAAGUUACAGAGAACCCGACAGUAACCAACUUGCUACUUUAUUCAUAGCACUUCGCAGCUUGCAUCUCUUCAGCAUCUUCCUACAAGUUAAGCUAUUGAGGAGUGAGCUAUUGCUGGGUGCCAGAAAAUACAAUUCCCU